RNAcentral lists this ribosomal RNA (427 nucleotides) under uncultured prokaryote. RNAcentral's name for it is "bacterial SSU rRNA". It matches the Rfam family "Bacterial small subunit ribosomal RNA", at positions 355 to 774 of the family's 1533-position model. The record is from RNAcentral.
UCGAGAAUCAUUCGCAAUGGGCGAAAGCCUGACGCUGCGACGCCGUGUGUAUGAUGAAGGCCUUCGGGUCGUAAAGUACUUUCGCUUGGGAACAAAGAAGAGUGGCUAAUAACCAUUUGACUUGAGGGUACCAGGUAAAGAAGCACCGGCUAACUCCGUGCCAGCAGCUGCGGUAAUACGGAGGGUGCAAGCAUUAAUCGGAUUUAUUGGGCGUAAAGGGCGCGUAGGCUGCCGUAUAAGUCAGAUGUGAAAUCCUGGGGCUUAACCUCAGAACAGCAUUUGAAACUGUGCGGCUAGAGGGUAGUCGGAGAAAACGGAAUUCCACAAGUAGCGGUGAAAUGCGUAGAUAUGUGGAAGAACAUCUGUGGCGAAGGCGGUUUUCUAGAUUAUUCCUGACGCUGAGGCGCGAAAGCAAGGGGAGCAAACA